CACAAAUGGAAGGAUUGCAUCUGCAAACUUUCCAGGAGAGCACCAUGGACACGACCAAAGGGGCAGAAGUGUAGCAGUUUGGCAAAGUUACUCCAGUCACUGUUUACUCACAUUUCUCUGGGAGGCCAUGAGCAUGCUACAAAAAGGAAAACCUUAUGAAGUAAAAAGAACGAACUCAACAUCCAGAUGUGGACACAGGAUCCACCAGCACUCCCCUAAGCCAGCAGGGAUCCUUGUAUUGUAAAAAUAGAAUCACAUUUCAGGCUUGAGUCUAUUACAUAGCAGCAGUUCCUGUUGAGAGCAUCUCCCAGCAUCCAGCUCCCUGAUUCCAAAAGAAAAAAAGCCUCUGUGGCACUGAUUAAUGGAAAAGCCUGGAUAUACUGGUGGAUCUGGAAAGCAUCUCGUAAUCUAUGACAGACAAGAUGUUUCUUAUUCUGAAGGGAUUUGAUCAUUGUUUAUGAAAUUAUGUGAGUGACAUAGCAUCACUGUUAUUUUUAUCCUGGCAUUACAGCUAGUCU
This 518-nucleotide long non-coding RNA is filed under the name Cyanistes caeruleus (blue tit). RNAcentral describes it as "lncRNA (ENSCCEG00000013648.1)". Lineage: Eukaryota; Metazoa; Chordata; Aves; Passeriformes; Paridae. The record is from RNAcentral.